CUGAUAGCUCGUAUCCAUAUCUUUCUCUUUAUUGAGAAGAAAUGUUGAAUCGUUUUAAGCUGAAAAAAUGCAAUGUGGUUCAACCAUAUUCUGGAGCAUAUUCUGAUCAAACUUCAGAUUCUGUCAAAUCGCGUUUCUAUCGCUUGAACAUUCCGCGCGAGAUUAGAAACAAGGCAUAAGAAAUAAAAUAAUCUGAGAGGUGGCGCGAAGAUAAUAAAAAGAGAAAAGGAAAACGUUUUGUCUCAACGACGAAAAAUGCUCUCUUUAUUGAAUUGACGAUCUUAUAACCACAUAAAACAAAACAUAUUUGAUAAUUAAAUGGCUGUACAAACACAUUGAUUUGAAUCAUGCGUGGCUAUGUUCGUAACGUGUGCAACUUCAUGCGACACGAGGCCCGAAGAGUAAAGUUGCGUAAAGUUGAUUGAGUCUGUUUCCCUCUUGCCCUCUGGCGCCCUACGUAAACGCACAUCCCCGAAAUUUAAAUGUCUAGCGAAAUCCGAUUAGGAAUGAAAAAUUCAAGCGUGGGGAUUGAAUGGAAGAGCGGGAUAAAGAAAAUCUUUAGCAAUUGGUUUUUAAUGAUCGUUUGCUUCUCUCUUUUAUUGAGGAUAACUUCUUUGAACGUCGCCUUAAACUAGGCAAACUCGGCUCGGUUCAGCCGGGUCCCCGGUCGCGUCGCGAACUUCAACUCGCGUUCGAUUCGCGGCCAGCUUCGAGUCGCGUGGCACGAGGUCUAUACGUAAAAAUCGUGGAACGCUUUAUAUGUUAAAAGUCGUGGAACGCAAACUCGAAAAUAAAUUACAAAAAACGGAAGAUGAAGAAAUCGAAUCGGAACGGAGUCCCUCGGUUAUGGCAGGUCAGCCUCGGAGGUCUCCGUUUAAUUGCUACAAAAAUCGCCGGGAAUCCUUUUCUCGCAUCACGAGGCGCACGAUUCUUACUCGAGAAAGAAAAUCGCGCGUCUCGUGCCACUUCGCUCGAUGAGACACGAAUGAUCAAGGUACGCCGGAAAAUUCGCAUCUGAAUUCGAUUCUUAUAGGUAUACCGAGGGGAUACUCGCGCCGUCGUCCAACAAAUGGUGAAGCGACGUGAGCGAUAUACGUUCGCCUACAAUACGAAAAAAGGAUUCACAAGUUCUCGUUGCAGCAAGAAAAAGGACAACCUCGUAGAGAGAAGAUCUUCCAAGCACGAGAGAGCCUAUUCCGAACGCGACCGGGAGACGCGAGAGCGACAGACAGACGAGAGAGCGUUCGUCAACAAGAAUCAUCUCCGUUUCAAGAUCAUCACUCAAUUGCAUGUGCGCUCUGUGAAUGGAAGAGAGGCGGGCGAGUGAAAAGAAUCGCGAGCAAUCAGGAGUGCGUCACAUUUAAUUAAACUGAGUAAGAUCAUGUUUUCCUCUCUCUUAUUUACAUUUUUUAAUCUAAGGUAUGUCACUGUGACGAUUGUAGAAAACCAUUUUCUCGUCGCCAGAAUAAGAAGAAAGCGUGAGAGAACGAGAAAAGAGAAGAGGCGAGAUUGAGAAAGAAAUGAACGAGUAGAGAUGAUCCUUAUCGAGGCAAACGAUCAAUAUCAGAGACAAAUCAGGUAUGUUCUGGUAUAUACAUGUUGCAGAAAUUUCUCAAAAUAUAUCUCAGAACAUAUCCGAGUGUUAUAUAUCUCGUUAUCGUUUCAAAAGCUUAGGACAAUAAAACAAAGUAGUAAUAUCUCCCUCAUUAAUCAUCCUACCACCUGAGUGGAUUAGUUCGGACUAUGCGCUUUCCUCUUCAGCAUGGACCGAUCGUUUGGAGCAACUUCUGAUUACUUCAUCCAAAUUGUCACACUACGUCGCGUGGGACUGCUGAGACUGUGGCAGUUUGCUGGAGCUUUUGUGAUGACUGGACGUGUGUCUUUCCUGAAAACGACAAAUAGAAUUGUGACGUCUUGCUCCGUGAAGAAAUGCAAAGAUGAGCGAAAGUCUUCCGCUAGUAAAAAAGAAUAAGCUAAUGCGUCACACGAUUAAGUAUGCCGCGUACAUUUCUAGCGUGCUCUCGAUGUAAUUGAGUCUAUUAUUUUGAGGACGUUGCGCCGUAUUGCGAGUCCAGAUUUGAAAUAUGAAGACGUGGAUCUUCUAAGCUGGAUCUGACGUGGCGUGUAUCAGUCUUCAACAGGAUUGUCAAAAUAAACGACUCAAUUUUCACAUUUCCGUGAUUAAACGCAGCGCGAAUUCGCAUCUUCUUUCAUUUUUUUUUUUUUGCGAAUUCUCAUUUCUUUCUAUAAGGAUUCGAUUUCGGACGGAUCGAUAGGAAUGGAUGGAUUGAGAAAAUGCGAGUGACAAAAGAAUGCAGUGGGAGUGUUGGGUCAGGAUUUCUGUGGUGGAUCCGCUCUUUGCCUUGGACUUGUCCCCUCGUCUAUCUUAGGCCAACGUAGCAAAGCGGAGUGAAGCUAAGCGAAUCAGUAAAAGCAUGUUUGUUUGCGAAUUCUACACAUGCAAUGUUCAUUCGUAUUGUAAAAAAGUGUAAAGUGUGCGAGCGCAUGCUCAUACUCGCGCUCAUGCCAUCAUACACGCACGCUCACACACACAUACACACACAUGACGCAUGCACGCACGCACACACAUGUCGCAGAACAUUACAACGCUAUUAUAGCGAUAAUAUAAUCCAGCGAUAACAGCAAUAUUUUGCUCGUAAUAAUAGUAGUGGUCGUGAUGUACCCUUCACCAAGCGACAAGAACAAAUGACAUGGGUAACGCCAAUUAAUCUCAUUCCGUUGACUUUUGGUGAACUUGUUUCGCGUGUGAUUUGUGUUGGCAAUCUCAUUGCAAUAUGGUACUCGUACAAUAUACUCCUAAGCCGUGAUGUUAGUACAUAUAUACUUAAAAAAAGAAAAAAAAGAAAAAAAAGAAAAAGAGAUGCGGCGGUACGGUGUGCGAUAUUGCAUAUAUACAUAUAAUAUGUGUGGUAUUAAGAAAAAGACAAAAUAAUCACUAAGCUCAUACGAAGAAAGGAUUGAAGAAAGCGGACGGUGGUAACGAGCAAGUUUUGAACAGAGAAGAGGAGAUUUGGAAGCAGAACAGAAUAUAAACAAGAGAGAGAAAUAAGAAAAGAAGUGAAAAUGUAAGUGACCAAAUUUAUAAGUAUCAAGACGUAGGGAGAAAACGGUAAUUAUGUGUAUUUAAGUUGUGGACCAAUUAAAUUGAUAGGCAAAGAUAUUAAGUAUAAAACUGAUUUAAGUCACAGAUGGACAAGAUGUUUACACUUGUUCUUUAACAAUUUUCUACUAAGCUAAGCUUAUCAUUGGUCAUAAAUUUUUAACCCUUUCCCUCCCUAGCUAUAGAACUUCAUUUUUUUACUUUCCUUAUUUUAUUAUUUUUUAAAAAAUUCUUAUUAUUCAAAGUCCCAUCCCCCUAAAAUAAUUUAUAGAUGCUACGUAAAAGUUAGGAUAAGGAUUUAGAUUUAAUUAAAAUGUAGAUGUAUAUCCUCGUAAGCUCGCAGGGAUAAGUUUCUAUAUAUACAUAUAUAUGUAUAUAUCUUUAUACAUACAUAUAUACAUAUAUCUAUGAUAAAUUACAAAGAUAGCAGAUUUGAGUUCACACGGGAAGGAAAAACUAUACAAUUAUACACGCAAAGGAUCUCAUAUCGUGAGAUUGUCAGUGCUCUUAAUCCUCUGCAUUUUGCAAAUCAGUCGUUUGCAUACGUUAGAACAGCAAUGGUAAUCGUGACAAUAUAACAAUUAACAAUGACACAUUCACGAUUCCGAUAUAAUAUCGCUUUUGCACAUUAUAAACUAUACACAUUCUUGUGAACGAGCUCUGUACAUGUGAAUAUACGUAUACAUAAAAUAUACACACUCUUAAAAAAUAUGUUCCGAGCGUAAUAUAUCGGUCGCAUAUAUAAUUCAAUCCGAUACGACGUUUCCUGAGUUAAUAUUUGUUCCAUAAAAGUUUCACAUUUCUGUGGUAGAUUUAAACAAGAUCAUUGAUUUCGGGCUAACUAAUCAAAGUUCGUGCUCCUUGCAUUCGACGACGAUUCGUGAGCGUAAUCUCCCUGGCCGACAAAAGCGUUGCGCGUGUGCAUUUCUCGCUAUUUCACUAAAUCUAAAUCCUCACGAGCAAUAGUCUUCCGGAAGAAUGACUGACGCCGAUAGGAAAUCAUAUCGCUCUGUCUGCUAUGCUUUCUUCGUUUAAUAUAUUCCGUCUACACGUGGCAGUGUGUUCUCCUUCUCCAACUUUUACAACGCGGUUUUCCUCUUCGUCGCACCUACGGCUACGACCUUAUGAUGUUUUCUUUAAAGUCUUUAUACGCGAGCGGUUAAUCAGCAUACUUAAUUAUUAAACGAUGAAUUAUGUGCAAAAGAUGCCUGGAAAAAUAUCUCUAUAGAGAUUUCUAAGAAAAUUGCGAUUUUCAAAAAAUUUCCUAUUUCUUUACCAAUAUUUCUGUUUCCAUCGCAAAAAUAAAAAAAAAAAGAAAAAAAAGAAAGAAGAAUAAGUCCUGAAGAUCAUGAAGAAAUCGAAAAUUUCGAUUUAGACUCGUAUUAAAAGCAUAAUAUUAAAGCGGUCAUAAACAGCUACAUAGGAAAUUUUUUAAAAAUCUUGAAAAUUAUAUAUUAAUUUGAAAAACAGUUAAGAAUAAUCCUAACAUUUCCAAUACGUAUUUGAGUUGGGAGGAAAAUGCUAAUUUAUUAUAAAGGAUGCAAUAAAGAAAAUUAUUUCAUUGCUAUUAAGAUCCUUUAAAUCUCGAUAAUUAUCCAUUAUAAUUUUCUAUUAUUUUUAUUUAAUUUAUAUUAUUUUUUUAUCAUUUCUUUAGGCACUAUGUAUAAAAAUGAAAAUAAUAACAAGCAAGAGCACAUUCGUGCAUUUCUAUGCACCUUCAUUGCAAAUUCUUGGAAUAUGUAGAUCAUGCUGGCUACGAGUGGGAGACUUUAACCUGAUGUUGAAAAGAGAAAUUAAGAGAAAAUAAAUAACGAUGCUGUCCAAAACGAUACCGUAGACACAUUGAAUUAUUGCAGCACUAAUAACUUCUAUCAAUAUGCAUGGAUCGACCACAAGCUAAAUUGAAUUUCAAUUAAGGCUCAUGAGAUCGACUAUAUGAAACUCAUCAAAGAUUAAAUUAUUCCCAUAAUAUCGAUAUUAUAUAUUACAGAUUUUCAUGCUUUUUAGGCACUCAAAUUACACUAUCGAAUUGACGAUAAAUAAUGAAUUGAUACUUCACUACAAAAUUAAGAUGCUGGAAUAAGAUGUCAUAUAUAAUCAAGAUUUUCUGUUAGGGAAUAAAUAUCUACGAAAAGAAGAAACAAUCGAAGCAAUCAAGUGGCAAAAGAAUAAACGGCAUGCUACUAUUUCUAUUAAAUUAUUUGGUCAAAUCGAAGGGAAAAAGGAUAAAUUUAGCGUUUUCGCGAUUCCAACAAUGAUCGGGGAGAUCUUGCAUAGAAUCCAACUCCCAAUCCAAGUA
Long non-coding RNA from Pogonomyrmex barbatus (red harvester ant), 5420 nucleotides. Lineage: Eukaryota; Metazoa; Arthropoda; Insecta; Hymenoptera; Formicidae. The record is from RefSeq and is a predicted model, not a curated record.